Molecule: small nucleolar RNA, 131 nt
Organism: Rattus norvegicus (Norway rat)
Lineage: Eukaryota; Metazoa; Chordata; Mammalia; Rodentia; Muridae
Product: small nucleolar RNA SNORA17
Source: Ensembl
ACUGCCCUUAGAAACAUUGCUGGUGUGGCUGAUGUGUCACAUGUGUGUCAGUAAGUAGCAGAGAGGAGAGGGGUUACGUCUAUGCUGAGUGUUCUGAUCUAUGAACAUCGAAUGAUGAGUAGCCUAACAAU